GGAGGGCUGUCCCUUGGACUUCAGUAGGAGAGGCUGUAGAGAAUGAAAGCAGCACUCAGAAGUGGAAACUUUGUUAAUAACUCUGCUCCAGCGAAAAUAGGUGAUUCAUUGGUUGACCAAAUAAAAAGAGUGUUAUUCAAGAAAUUCCCUUCUCUCCCUUGCUCUUUGAAGCUCCACAUGAAUGUUUUGCCUGUGUAUAUUGUCUGCCAUACAGUAUUUUGGAACGACAACAAUAAAAACUGCUGGCUGCUCUCCUCUACAUUCGGUGGCCUUGGGAACACCAAAGAUGUGGCCUUGGCAACACUUGCACAUCGAGGUCAAGAGGCCAGGAAGAGCAUCCUGCCUUCUAAAUCCUUUGAAGUUUACUCGAAAUUCUCAUCCUGAACUGGACUUUUGGACUCAACAACAAAAGUUCUGGAGGCCAGAAGUCUACAAUCAAGGUUUUGGCAGAGCUGCAUUCCUUCCAGUGACUCUCGGAAGAAUCAAUUUAUUUAUCUUUUCCAGCUUCUGUAGGUUUUCUGCAUUCCUUUUUUUUUUAUUUUUGCUCAUGGCCCCCUUCCGGCUAGCAAUUGCAACACUCUGCCCUCUACUUCUAGCAGCCAUGCAUCCCCAUUUCUAACUCUCCUGCCUCCCCCUUUCACUUAUAAGGACCCUUGUGAUUACAUUUGGCCUGCCCAGAUAAUCCAGAAAAAUCUCCCAGAUAAGGUUCCUUAAUUUAAUAACAUCUGUAAAUUCUCUUUUGCCCUGUAAGGUAACAUAUUCAUAGGUUCUGAGGAUUAAGACUUGAGCGUCUUUGGUGAUGGGGCAUUAUUUUGCCUACUACAGAAGGCUAGUUUGUCUUGAAGUUUUCUUCUAACUUGAAAAUUCCACGGGUUGAUUGGAGCGAUGUCAGCAUGAUUUGUCUCAUUUAAUCACUAGCCCUGACUGUGUACUCUCAUUGUGUCUCACUGUGCUCAAUGAAGAGACAACUUUGUGGAGUUCCAAUUCCUUCUGUGUAUCUUGACCUUUGCGCUGCUACAGGAGUCAUGUGGAGGAAUUACAAUAUUUAAUACCAAGGAUUUUGAAACCCAAGCUGUUUUUGUGAUAAACAACAGUCACUAAAGGACAUCUUUUGUCUCCUGCUCAGUCACAACUCAAACCCUGAGCUGACAAGCUUACUCUUUCCUCUUAGAUCGUGGCCAGUCUGUAUCACACGGGGCUUGGAAAGUAGUCAUAAGAGAACACACUUUCAUUACUGUGGCCUGAAAAGUGCAGGUAGGGUAUGAAAAAUCAAAGGGAUGGAACAUAGAGAUGGGCAAAGUAUGUCUGCUGGAAAUGGAGUGGGAACUGAGUGAGGAUUAUGGGAUUCUUCACCAUUUGUGCAAAUAAGCAGAGGCAGUGGAGGUCCAGAUAUUACUAAACAACAGAUAUUUAGAAAGUCACUGACUUGCAGCUUUGAAAUAAAGUCUUUGUUUUUAUAAUGCUUUAACUUUCACAAUGACUUAUUGCUUUGGCUACUAAAAGUUAGAUAGUUUUCCCUGAGCCAAACCAAAGAAUGUGGGGGUAGUGAGAGGCUGAGGGAUGCUGGCUCAGGACUGAAUAAUUGGCUGGAAGUAUUAUUCUCCCUUUUGGGUUUUUAAGCUUUCCCCCACUGGCUCAUUUUUAUUUGUAAAAAGAGUUUCUGUGGGCACUAUAAGUUGCCUACACAGCAGAAUUCCCUGCCGUCCUUCUGAACACAUCCCUAAUUGUGUGCAGGUAUCCACCCUGCUCUCUUGCAAGACAAGUGCCUCCAGGGAUGCUGCUUCUACCAUCAGCACUGGCAAAGAGAACCCGAUUGGUUUAAGUGUAAUCUCAUCAUGCUGGCUGGUGAUUGGUUCAAGAAUGGGCGUGUGGUCCUUUGUGUUUCAUUGCUGGCCAUUGAGACAUAAAGAGAGUUUGUGGGUAGCCAUGGAGACUGUUCUUAUUUGCUUUUAAGAGACGUUGAAUGUCACUGUCUUUCCCUCUAUGGAUGGAAAUAGAGAAGCAUGUAGCUCCAAAUUCCUCUAGUGACAAUUAUAUAACCAUGAGAAAACAAACCAAAACAACAUACCCUCCUAGCAUUACAAGGAGCGACAAAAAGAAGCUAAUGCUUGAUCACGUGCUGGACUGCAUGGAUCAACAAACUCUGGAACCUACUUUGUCUCUGAACUUUCUGUUAUGAAAGUCAUUCCUCAACUGUUUAUGCUAUUCCGAGUUAUGUUUUCUUACUUGCAGCUGAAAGCAUCCUAAUACCUAUGCUUCAAGUAGUCAUUGUGGCUCUAAUGUCCCCUGACUAGCUCCAAGGCUUGGCCUCCUAACUUGGGGAACCGCAGCUUUUUUCAUAAUCUCCAGCUGGUAUUUUUGGGAGUUCUAGAUGUUCUUGAAUCAACUUGGGCAGUGUUUCAGUGCUGUUCUCUUUAUUCUUAACUGUCCAAUUCCUGCAGGGCCUCCAUUGAGGCUUAGCAGCUUUAAAAAAAAAUUAGAAGGAGAGUGCUCCCUCCUUCUGUUACAUUCUCAGUCUGUAGGUAGCAGGAGUGAUCCUAAAACAGGGAUGCUUGAGUUCCAAAGUAUUAAAGAGAUAAAAAGGCCAGUACUUUUAUUUUUGUAAAAUUUAGAUACACAAUUCCCUGUUGACCUUUAGGUUCUGUAGCUAAAUUUGGCUAGACCAGUGUCCAAGAUAAAUAUAAUACAAAAUACAGGUGUAACUUUAAGUCUUCUAGCAGCUGCCUUAAAAAAGCAAAAAGAAUCAGGUAAAACUAAUUUCAAUAAUAUAUUUUAUUUACUUCAACAUGUAAAAAAUUAUUUCAAUAUGCAAUUGAUAUAAAAGCUUUUUAAGAGAUAUUUUAUGCUAGUUUUUCCAAAGCAAGUCUUCAAAAUCCCAUGCACAUUUAAUCUCAAUUUAGACUAGCUACAUUUCAAGUACUCAGUAGCCACAUGUGUCUAGUGGCUGCUGCCAUUUUGAACAGCACAGGGCUAGACUCUGCCAAAGUUCUGCCCACAGAGGUAAUUUGCUCCAAGUGGCUUUUUCCUCCUUUCUUGAACUCUGAUUUAUUUUCCCUCUAAUCCCAGAGCUGCUUUCUUUUGGUUUUUCAGAUGUGUGUCCAUAUGUUUGAACUCCAACUGUGAAUAUGGCUGGAGUUAAUGACUUCCCCCAGAAAACUUCUCAGCUCUUAUUUAAAUAAAUAAAUUUAAUUGUUUGCAAAUGGAGCUAAGUGGGUGGGAGGAGCUGUUUAUGAAUGCAAACAUAUAUUUGCUUGAGGGGAAAGGUGUUAUCCAAAUCAAAUUUCUUUUACCAGAGCAAACAAUUUCUUCCUUCGUGUUAAACCCAAUGGACACUUUCUAAUUCUUUUUUUUUUUUUAUCUGACCUUCCCAUUGACUUUGCUGAACACCAUUUUGUUCCUGAAAGUCUCUCUUCUCCUGGCUUCCAUGACACUUGCCUCUCCUAGCUCUUCUGCUUCUCUGACUGCUCCAACUUGGGGCUCCCCUUUUACUGCCCUUCCCUUAAAGGUGAUGCUCCAAUGGUUACAUCUUUGAUCUUCCUGUCUUUUGUACUGCAUAUAUUCACCAUCAAUACUUUUAUCCAUCCAUGGCUUAACUGUAAUUUACAUACAAAUAUUUCCCAAAUAUGUAUGUUCAGCCCAUAUUCAUCUUCUGACCAAACCCAUAUAAUACAUUGUUCAUGAAUCAACCCCUUUUAGAUAUCUGAAGGGUCACCAUUUGUAAAACUGAAGUCAUUACUUUUCCUCCUCUAAACUGGACUCUCUACUUUUGUUUUCUGUUUUACUAAAUGGUACCACUAACCAUUCAGUUGACCAGCCUGAAAUGGGUUGUUGUUCUAAAUUAAAUGCCUCUCUGUCUCUCACCUCCCCUAUGUAAUAAUCAGCAAGUCCUUCUGAUUAAACUUAACUACAAUCUCUUGAUUGAGUCACAUAUUCCCCUCAUUCCCACUGCUACCAUUUUGUCUUUUCUCAAUUAACCUCUGACUAGUUCCUUGCCAUCACUCUUGAUCCUUCUUUCCAGCCUCCUUAUUGCACUGAAAGGAGCUUUUCUCAAACAGAAAUUACUGGUCAAUCCCUUGUUUCUUUGCUUAAAAUUAAACUUAAAAAAAAAACUUUUAUUGUAAGUUCUGGAUACAUGCACAGAACGUGCAGUUUUCUUACAUAGAUAACCAUGUGCCAUGGUGGCUUGCUGCACCCAUCAACCCAUCAACCCUAGGUAUUAAGCCCUGCAUGCAUUAGCUGUUUAUCCUGAUGCUGUCCCUCCCUGCCUCCACAGGCCCCAGUGUGUGUUAUUCUCUUCCCUGUGAUCUGGCUUCUACCUUCCUCUCCCAUAUUUCUGCCUGCUUGUGCUCUACCUUCAACUUACAAUGAACUUGAGGUUCCUUUUUGUCUCCUGGGCCUUUGCUUGUGCUGUUCCUCUGCCUUGGACAGUCUUUCUGCCACCUUCUUUCCCUGGCUAAUUUGAUCCUAGCAGUUCUAAAAUUUUUGGUCUCAGAACUCCUUUAAACUAUAAAAAUUAUUGAGGACCCCAAAGAGUUCUUAUGAGUAGGGACAUUAUCUAUAAAUUGUUACUGUAUUUGGAAUUAAACUAAGAAAUCUUGAAAAUAAUUCUUCAUUGAUUGACUUUAAAAUACAAUACAUAAAUAAUGACAAUACCUAAAUAACAUUUUAUGGAAAUGACUAUUGACAAGACAAAACAUAUUAGUGAGAAGAGUGGCAUCAUUUUACAUUUUUGCAAAUAUCUGUAGUGUUUGGCUCAAUAAAAAACACUGGUCUCA
This is a long non-coding RNA of Pan troglodytes (chimpanzee), 4775 nucleotides long. RefSeq lists it as uncharacterized. The record is from RefSeq and is a predicted model, not a curated record. NCBI's taxonomy places the organism in Eukaryota, Metazoa, Chordata, Mammalia, Primates, Hominidae. The transcript is spliced from 4 exons.